CUUCUGCGCACCGAUGCUCAGCUUUCACAGGCGAGGAGGCGAGCGGGAGGAGCCAAGAGAGGAGCGGAGACAUGGAUCCUUCCUGCUAAUAAUGACCAACCAGAAGCCCUCAAGGCUGCUCUUUCAACCAAUCCCCAUCAGAGUCAGAAGAAAGGGCUGUAAUUACUUUGAUCAGAUCUUCCCCGCAAUUGCAAAUGUUAAUAGGGCAAGCAGAUCAAACCUGUCCAAUUACGACACUCAUUACACUCACGUGGAAAUACGUGCUACUCACGACCUUUAGCUCGUGGAGGGGGGGGCUCCUGUGUGUGUGUUCAUGCAUACCACAGCUGUUUUUCUAACUCUUCCUGACAGAAGAAUAUGAUCUGAUAAGCGCUGACAUGUUUUUCCUCCUGAGACCUUUUAUUUCACACCCGCCGCCUCCCCUUAACACUUCCCUCAUUGUUCCUAUUGAUUGCUCAGCGCCGGCGAAAAGAAGCCGCAACACACUCGCGUAUGCUUGUACGGCGUAUUGAGUGAGCGAGCAUUUGGCAGCCAAUAGCGCCAUGGCCGUGUGACACUUUAUCGGCCAGUGACAAGUCAAGUGCCAUUACCCCCCCCCGCCCCAAAAAGAAGAUUCAUUAAAUCUCACCUCUUCUGCUGGAUUUCAUGGUAGUGGGUCCGCUUUUGCAGCCUCCACGCCUCCCUCUCCUGGGAUCGAGAGUCGUAGUUGUAGUAGUGCAACAGGAAGGGCCACACCUCGCCACGGAUGGACGGGUCGAUACCACCGAAGAAGAUGGCCUGGUUAAAAGACAAAGUGAGCAAGUCAAACAAGACAAGAAAGCUGCAUUGUCCUAUAGGUCAAUAGACCAAAGUGUAAUGAUAACCAUAGAGCUCGGAAAGGAACUUGGCACAAAGUACCAUUACAGAGGCUUCAUUAACCACAGAACAGACACUGCAAAGCCAACUUCGAGACUCCAGCAAACCACAGUGAGAGCCAUUAUCCACAACAUGGACCAGCGGUGAAUCAUCCAAGGAGUAGCCGGCCAACCAAAAUGACCCCAAGCGCGCAAGGACGACUCAUCCAGGAGGUCACAAAAGACCCCACAACAACAUCCAAAGAACUGCAGGCCUCAUUUGCCUCAGUGUUCAGGAUUCCACCGUAAGAAAGACAUUGAAAACAAGUGUGAAUAUGCAAAAAUAGCCGUUUUAUUGGGCCAAUGGUUUUGAUUUGUAGUUUGUGUGUUUUGAGUGCAAAGUUUCCUUGUCACGCCUCAUUGGCCCGUAGUAAAGAAUUGUUGAUACCACACACACGUCUCCCAGCAUGGACCACUCCUUAAUAAUAAUGGUGGCAUGUCUCAAAAGGGAGUGGCUAUUGAGCAUUACUAUAUCUACCAUUAGGAUGGCAUAUAAAAGACAUGGCAUCAUUCAUUCAAUGCUUCACCAUGCAGCGACCGUACUGUGCACUAUUGGCCAAUGAGGCGUGACGUGGAAACUUUACACUCAAAACACACAAACUAUAAAACCAAACCCCAUGGCCCUAAAAACAGCCACAAUAUUUUUUUUUAAAGUCCUUCAGUCCUCACACACACACACACACACACACACACACACAGCUAAUACUACACAGCUUGUGGACAGUUACCAUGGUACCCAUUAUGUCAUUGUAUGGUCAUAUCACCUCGUACUUUGGUACGUGACAAAAAAUAAAAAAUACAAAUACAAACAAAAAAAAAUUAUCUUAGGAAAGCAGGAAGUGAACAAAUGCAACGUUACUGAUUGUUACUGAUUGUAAAAGUACCAGAUGGGGGGGUAGGAUUUAAUAAGCUUUGCUUCUUCCUACUCCUUUUGGACAUGUGGAACUGUGAACUGAUUAUGUGAUGCAUUCAAUUGUAAUCUGAUGCAUGUUCAAAUGAAAUUAAACCAUUACCAUUACUAGUCAUAUAUUAGUGUGCUAGAGUCCCCACCCAAUGCUCCACCACUGUUAACAUCAUGAAUAGGAUGAGUAGCUUUAUAAGAAGUUUAUUGUAGUAUUAUUUUGGUAGCACUUGUAAAGCAGUUAAAACAUCAUUUGACUUUGUCAACUGUUUCACAAAUAUAAUUUCCAUUAAUUAUGUGUAUUAAAUUGUUUGACCACUAAUAAACUGACUGUUGACUGUUUGAUUCUUAAGCUUCCACUGCAUCAAAACUGUAUAUCCAAUUUAAAUGCAAAGUGCUGCAAAAGUGAAAGUCCAAAAAGCUGCA
Doryrhamphus excisus (bluestripe pipefish) is the source of this 2220-nucleotide non-coding RNA. The record is from RefSeq and is a predicted model, not a curated record. NCBI's taxonomy places the organism in Eukaryota, Metazoa, Chordata, Actinopteri, Syngnathiformes, Syngnathidae.